AGUGAACGCUGGCGGUAGGCCUAACACAUGCAAGUCGAACGGCAGCACAGUAAGAUCUUUCUCUUACUGUUGGCGAGUGGCGGACGGGUGAGGAAUACAUCGGCAUCUACUUUUUCUUGGGGGAUAACGUAGGGCAACUUAUGCUAAUACCUCAUACUUCCUACGGGUUAAAUCAGGGGUUCUUCGGACUUUUCCUGUUACUUUUAGCUGAUGUCGGAUUAGCUAGUUGGCGGGGUAAGGGCCCACCAAGGCGACGAUCCGUAGCUGGUCUGAGAGGAUGAUCAGCCACACUGGAACUGAGACACGGUCCAGACUCCUACGGGAGGCAGCAGUGGGGAAUAUUGGACAAUGGGCGAAAGCCUGAUCCAGCCAUACCGCGUGGGUGAAGAAGGCCUUCGGGUUGUAAAGCCCUUUUGUUGGGAAAGAAAAGAAGCAGGUUAAUACCCCGCUGUUCUGACGGUACCCAAAGAAUAAGCAACGGCUAACUUCGUG
RNAcentral lists this ribosomal RNA (492 nucleotides) under uncultured bacterium. RNAcentral describes it as "partial 16S ribosomal RNA". It matches the Rfam family "Bacterial small subunit ribosomal RNA", at positions 29 to 507 of the family's 1533-position model. The record is from RNAcentral.